UGAGGGGGCAUCCCCCUCAACCCUAAUGCAGCUUCGGAUAUGCGUCCGGAACGGUGACAAGUCCGUAUAAAUGCAGAGUCAGGG
RNAcentral lists this non-coding RNA (84 nucleotides) under unclassified sequences. The record is from RNAcentral.